CUCCCCGAGUAGUAUCAAAUCCAUUAUCGAGCUCCUCCAAAAGCGUGGUUAUUGCUAGUUGAAAACUAUACCCAAUACCCCGCGCUGACGACCUUUUAGUCGGCAUGCGCAAUUUUUGCCGGCUUCUACGGGAG
Molecule: small nuclear RNA, 134 nt
Organism: Patella vulgata (common limpet)
Lineage: Eukaryota; Metazoa; Mollusca; Gastropoda; Patellidae
Product: U4 spliceosomal RNA
Exons: 1
Source: RefSeq, a predicted model, not a curated record